RNAcentral lists this ribosomal RNA (489 nucleotides) under Staphylococcus pasteuri. Its description in RNAcentral is "bacterial SSU rRNA". It matches the Rfam family "Bacterial small subunit ribosomal RNA", at positions 1 to 475 of the family's 1533-position model. The record is from RNAcentral. Lineage: Bacteria; Bacillati; Bacillota; Bacilli; Caryophanales; Staphylococcaceae.
UUUUAGAGUUUGAUCCUGGCUCAGGAUGAACGCUGGCGGCGUGCCUAAUACAUGCAAGUCGAGCGAACAGAUAAGGAGCUUGCUCCUUUGACGUUAGCGGCGGACGGGUGAGUAACACGUGGAUAACCUACCUAUAAGACUGGGAUAACUUCGGGAAACCGGAGCUAAUACCGGAUAAGAUUUUGAACCGCAUGGUUCAAUAGUGAAAGACGGCCUUGCUGUCACUUAUAGAUGGAUCCGCGCCGUAUUAGCUAGUUGGUAAGGUAACGGCUUACCAAGGCAACGAUACGUAGCCGACCUGAGAGGGUGAUCGGCCACACUGGAACUGAGACACGGUCCAGACUCCUACGGGAGGCAGCAGUAGGGAAUCUUCCGCAAUGGGCGAAAGCCUGACGGAGCAACGCCGCGUGAGUGAUGAAGGUCUUCGGAUCGUAAAACUCUGUUAUCAGGGAAGAACAAACGUGUAAGUAAACUGUGCACGUCUGACCG